Equus caballus (horse) is the source of this 3999-nucleotide long non-coding RNA. NCBI's taxonomy places the organism in Eukaryota, Metazoa, Chordata, Mammalia, Perissodactyla, Equidae. The record is from Ensembl.
UCAGGAGUCCUCAGGCCAACGUCCGUCAACAGAGGGUCCUGUGUCUCCCGAAUGGACCUUCCCCCUUGUGUCUGCCACUCUCACUCGUUAGCUGGGAGCAGCCCGUGGGAAGCGGGGCCUCAGUGCAAACGUGGUGAUGGAGUUUACAGGACGGCAACCGGCACCCUCGGCAGCUUGUGCUCCGUGUUGUUGGAGGUCUGCAAGGUACCUCCUCGUGGCCGCUCAAGCCCACCCGUCGCACCAAGUGAAGCCACUUCUUCACACAGACUUGGGCAGCAGCUCUUCCGUGAUUCCAGUGGGCCUUUCUUCCCGAAGGGGAAUCAGAAGAUGGAGGAUAAAUUACUGCCCCGUCUUUGCAAUUGACCAUGGGGCUACAGCAAAUGCCACCCUCUCCCUUCUACACCAUCCCUUUUACAUUUCCUCCACUCAGCUGUGACUCACCAAGGCUUUGGCAGGUUUCGGUGGCUUCCCUGGUAGUGUGACUCAAGCUUUCACUUCUGAGGGAUAUGAAGCCGUGAUAAUCACUCAUCUCAGGCCAGGGGGACUGCAUGUGUCCAUUCAUACUUACAGUGAGGCACUGGAGCGCCAGGGGAGGCCACGGUGGGUCACCUGGCCUGUUAGUCUGCUCAGGCUGCUCUCAACAAAAUACCACAAACUGGGGGGCCCGAACAACACAAAUUUAUUUUCUCACAGUUCUGGAGAUUGAAAGUCCAAGAUCGAGGUUCCAGCAGGGUUGGUGUCUGCUAGAGCUCUCCCCUAGGGUUCUACACAGCCACCUUCUCGCUGUGUGAGCACAUGGCCUUGCCUUGGUGCUUGCACAUGAAGAGAAAAAGAGCUCUCCAGUGUCUCUUCUUAUAAGGACACCAAUCCUAUCAGAUCAGGACCCCAUCCUUAUGACCUCGUUACUUAAUCACCUUAAUUACUUCUCCAGAGGCCCCAGCAGAGGCUGAGAUUUUGCAGGCAGGAAGGGCAACCUCAUCCCCAGCAAAUGUAUCUAUCCUUGUGAAGAGGAACGAGAGACCCUUUCAGGAUGGAAGGUGGCCAAUGUAGUCAAUUUGCCACUAAGCGGCCAACUGGGUUCCUUGAAGAAUAGUGCCUGGAUGACUUGGUUUCUGUUGCUAACAGUUUGGACAUUCAGAAGCAGCAGUAGCUGGAUCUGCCUUGGUAAGUGGGAGUCCAUGCUGUUGGGCCCACACAUAUCUUCCUGUCUGACACUGUGGCCACCCCACUCAUGAGCCCGUCAUGCUGGGUUAGGCUGAUGAUGAAAGCGGAUAAUGUCAACAGAACAAGUCAUUCGGUCUCCUUGGUAGUCCAGUUGAGAAUGGGUCCUCACUGGUGAGGGUUAAUGCACUUACUGGUGAGUGUGACACAAAAAUCUUCACACUUUGUGCCCACUCCCACGUGUCCACCACAUGCCUCUACCCUAGACCUCCUUGGCUAUGCUCCUCUAUUUCCUUUCCUUUCCGACCCUGGACCAGGCCAUUGGCCAUUCACCUCGGGCAACUUUUCUUUGCCUACAAAGAUGAUGGUCAGGUGACUGCUUGCAUCUCUACCCAUUGGGAAGACUUUCCCUCUCUACUGUCUUUUAGGGCCCCUCCUAAGUGUGGGAGGAAUGCAGCUGCUACCUAUUUUUGACUUGCACCCAUGUACUGAGUUAACCCAUCUGUAAACCAAGCUCCUCUUCCAGCUGGUCAUAUGGGAUUCUCCUAUACGGCCGCAGGCACAAGUUAGAGGAGGGCCUUGGUCCAGCUGUGGUGGAUGACAAGGAGGUCUGAGCUGCCUAUUUUUGCAGGUAAGUCAUGCCCUCUGGUCCUACUCAGGCUCCACCCCAGGUAUGCUAUUUCCACACCACAGUGGAUGCCUGCGGACCUAUCUGACUUUAUGACUUGGCAGGUCUGACAGAACCCAGUUCAUAAUAGUCAGUUCCGGAUCCUGGCCAAGUGCUCUGUCUCUACCAGGAUCCAGUAACGUGCCAAGAGCUAUUUCUCAGAGUGCGUAAUUCUCCGCUGCUGAUGGCGCGACUUUGCUCCAGAAUCCCAGGAGCAUGCAUUGUGAUUCUCCUGUUGGAGUUUGCCACGAGCCAAGGUCACCCCCACCCACCCUUCCCUCCUCCAACUGAUUACUCUCUGGCCCUUUCAUCUAACUUUUUUGAUCUCAAGACUCUAUGCGUCGACCCAGAGAACAUCGCGUUCGUUUCCUAGGCCUGCCAUAGCAAAGGAUCACAAACAAGGCAGCUUAAACAACAGAAAGUAUUGUCUCACAGAUCAAGAUGUGGGCAGGGUUGGCUCCUUCCGCGGCUGUGAGGGAGAACCUGUUCCAUGCCUCCUUCCUGGUUUCUGGUGGUUUUCUGGCAAUCUUUGGUAUUCAUCGCCUUGUAGAAGCAUCACCCCAAUCUCCGCCUUCAUGUCCACCCGGCAUUCCCCCUACAUGUGUGUGUCUGUGUCCAAAUUUCCCCUUUUUAUAAGGACACCAGUCAUGUUGGAUUACAGCCCUCUCUACUCCAGCAAGACCUCAUCUUAACUCAUUUCAUCAGCAACAACCCUGUUCCCAGAUAAGGUCACAUUCUGAGGGUGAGGAGUCAGGACUUCAAAUACGCAUUGUAGGAAACCCAGUUCAACCAGUAACAGACAUCUCGAUGUUCUCUCCUGGGUGAUGCUUCCCUCCUCCUGGGACGACGGUGACUGCCUCCUGCAUCAGCCGGACAGCACCGUUCUUUGAAUUCGAACCUCUCAGCUGGAAUGGCAGUGAGCAGGAGGCCCCUGGGACAGCCUUCCCACCCACCCUCACAGCCCAGGCCACGGGCCACACCACAGGCCUCACCCUGGCCAGAGCCUCUCGAUCCCAGGACAACAGGGUGUCCUGAGGCCACGCCCCCCUCUUCAGCACAGCCAUGUCCCCACUGAGGCCCGUUCCCCACAGCCUUGACCCUGACACACCAAUUCCACAUUGUUCUCACCUGACUGAGCAUGGAAAGACACUUUUUAAAGAAGCCAUAUCCUCCCCAGAAGCAUGGCCUAGAUACAGCUGCGAAAGAGCCCAGAUGACUUCGGGACCCCAUGUCCUUUGAUCAUUCUCCUCAGGCCUUUGGCAACUCGUAAUUCUACCCAGCCCCUGAACAUCAUUAUAAACAAGUAGCACAGUGUAACAAAGAGAGCAGUCAGCUAGGAGACCUGGGGUCCAGCCCAGCCUGUCAUUUAGCACCUGGGUGGCCUUGGGCAAGUCCCUUCACCUCCUGAUUCUCAACUGUAAGGAAAAGAGGCAGAGAAGCAACCGUUCGGUGAUCUCUAAGUCACCUUUAAGCACAAAUGAACCAGGGCUCGAGUCUGGCUGGCCAUUAACUUGUCUAAAGAGAGAGGAAUCUAUUUGCUUAGUCAGGAAAGUUUGUUUGAAAAUGUCCCUUUUCUCUCAAAGUAAUUGUGAAACUGCAGACAGAACACCCUUUGGUGCAUAUUUAAAAUUCAGGAUCUGAGUAUUUUCCUUAAACAUGUGUCCGGGCUGCAGGAGAAGCUGGCCAUCAGCUGGGGCACUAAGCAGAGCGCCUCCCCGAGGUCUCUCCUGUGCCCUGGGCUUCUCCAGCAUGGGCUGGGUUCUGAGAGGAGGUGCCCAAAGACUGUAAAACUGAGGCACUGAGAGGUGAAGGAAAUUGCCUAACACCAGCCGGCCACAAUGAACAUGUGUAAUUUUACAACUCAGAAAAAAGAAAACCCACUGAUAUUGAGGAAAGAAGAGAUCUAUGCAAAUGGCUCUGGAAAGUCAUCUGUGCAUUGGGUUCGUCGUGAACGUGAUGCUGCAGACAGCAGCUCAGGCUAGACUGACGGGUGCAUGGGGGAGACUGAGGCGUUUGGGAGGGAAGUGACCUGGUGCUGCGAAUCCUGCCCUGGGGCUCGAGGAACUCCGCCUCCCCUAACCCUGAUCUAACUGGACGGACCCAAGCGAAACCAUGCUGACGGCACUCCCAGUUGCAGGUCUUCCAAAUAAAAUCUUUUCAGAUGAGCAGCA